GAUGAACGCUGGCGGCGUGCCUAAUACAUGCAAGUCGAACGCGCAGCGAAAGGUGCUUGCACCUUUCAAGCGAGUGGCGAACGGGUGAGUAACACGUGGAUAACCUGCCUCAAGGCUGGGGAUAACAUUUGGAAACAGAUGCUAAUACCGAAUAAAACUUAGUGUCGCAUGAUACAAAGUUGAAAGGCGCUACGGCGUCACCUAGAGAUGGGUCCGCGGUGCAUUAGUUAGUUGGUGGGGUAAAGGCCUACCAAGACAAUGAUGCAUAGCCGAGUUGAGGGACUGAUCGGCCACAUUGGGACUGAGACACGGCCCAAACUCCUACGGGAGGCUGCAGUAGGGAAUCUUCCACAAUGGGCGAAAGCCCGAUGGAGCAACGCCGCGUGUGUGAUGAAGGCUUUAGGGUCGUAAAGCACUGUUGUAUGGGAAGAAAUGCUAGAAUAGGGAAUGAUUCUAGUUCGACGGUACCAUACCAGAAAGGGACGGCUAAAUACGUGCCAGCAGCCGCGGUAA
This 513-nucleotide ribosomal RNA is filed under the name uncultured bacterium. Its description in RNAcentral is "partial 16S ribosomal RNA". It matches the Rfam family "Bacterial small subunit ribosomal RNA", at positions 28 to 523 of the family's 1533-position model. The record is from RNAcentral.